CAUUUUGAGACAAAAGUGUCAAUUGUCUAUUGUCAAUAGUGUAGCGACGUAUGAAGCACAGUUCACACAGUAGUUACUUUCAAACAAA
Molecule: long non-coding RNA, 88 nt
Organism: Sinocyclocheilus anshuiensis
Lineage: Eukaryota; Metazoa; Chordata; Actinopteri; Cypriniformes; Cyprinidae
Exons: 3
Source: RefSeq, a predicted model, not a curated record